Non-coding RNA from Brachypodium distachyon (stiff brome), 135 nucleotides. NCBI's taxonomy places the organism in Eukaryota, Viridiplantae, Streptophyta, Magnoliopsida, Poales, Poaceae. The record is from Rfam.
UUCCUACUUCUCCGUCCAACAAAAAAUGUUUAAAGUUUGUCAAAAUUUGGAUGUAUCAACACAUGACUUAGUGUAUAGAUACAUUCAAAUUUAUUUAAAAUUGAGACAUUCUUCGUUGGACGGAGAAAGUACCAA